GCUCCUGUGGUGUAGUCCGGUCAAGCAUACUGCCCUCUCAAGGCAGUGAUCCCGGGUUCAAAUCCCGGCGGGAGCACCA
Molecule: transfer RNA, 79 nt
Filed under: Nitrososphaerota archaeon
Lineage: Archaea; Thermoproteati; Nitrososphaerota
Also listed under: 3 other names
Description: Thaumarchaeota archaeon tRNA-Glu
Rfam family: tRNA
About the family: Transfer RNA (tRNA) molecules are approximately 80 nucleotides in length. Their secondary structure includes four short double-helical elements and three loops (D, anti-codon, and T loops).
Source: RNAcentral